This 440-nucleotide ribosomal RNA is filed under the name uncultured bacterium. RNAcentral describes it as "partial 16S ribosomal RNA". It matches the Rfam family "Bacterial small subunit ribosomal RNA", at positions 338 to 795 of the family's 1533-position model. The record is from RNAcentral.
CCUACGGGGGGCAGCAGUAGGGAAUAUUGCUCAAUGGGGGAAACUCUGAAGCAGCAACGCCGCGUGGAGGAUGAAGGUUUUCGGAUCGUAAACUCCUUUUGUUAGAGAAGAUAAUGACGGUAUCUAACGAAUAAGCACCGGCUAACUCCGUGCCAGCAGCCGCGGUCAUACGGAGGGUGCAAGCGUUCCUCGGAAUCACUGUGCGUAAAGAGCGCGUAGGCGGGAUAGCAAGUCAGAUGUGAAAUCCUAUGGCUUAACCAUAGAACUGCAUUUGAAACUGUUAUUCUAGAGUAUGGGAGAGGUAGGUGGAAUUCUAGGUGUAGGGGUAAAAUCCGUAGAGAUCAAGAGGAAUACUCAUGGCGAAGGCGACCUGCUAGAACAUAACUGACGCUGAUGCGCGAAAGCGUGGGGAGCAAACAGGAUUAGAUACCCGGGUAGUC